This 328-nucleotide ribosomal RNA is filed under the name uncultured eukaryote. Its description in RNAcentral is "partial 18S ribosomal RNA". It matches the Rfam family "Eukaryotic small subunit ribosomal RNA", at positions 1470 to 1796 of the family's 1831-position model. The record is from RNAcentral.
CCCUUAGAUGUCCGGGGCUGCACGCGCGCUACACUGAAGGAAUCAGCGUGCUAAAACCAUUGUCGAAAGGCAUUGGUAAACCCAUUAAAAUCCUACGUGAUUGGGAUCGGGAAUUGCAAUUAUUUCCCUUGAACGAGGAAUUCCCAGUAAGUGUGGGUCAUAAGAUCGCGUUGAUUACGUCCCUGCCCUUUGUACACACCGCCCGUCGCUGCCCGGGACUGAGCCGUUUCGAGAAAAGCGGGGACUGCUGCUGUCGGGGCUUUCGGGCCUUGGCUUCGGUGGAAACCGCUUUAAUCGCAGUGGCUUGAACCGGGCAAAAGUCGUAACA